Molecule: ribosomal RNA, 725 nt
Filed under: Bifidobacterium breve
Lineage: Bacteria; Bacillati; Actinomycetota; Actinomycetes; Bifidobacteriales; Bifidobacteriaceae
Description: bacterial SSU rRNA
Rfam family: Bacterial small subunit ribosomal RNA
Source: RNAcentral
AACGGGGGUACCAUCGUGCUACAAUGCAGUCGAACGCUCACUCUUCUCUCUUUGCCUGGUGUCGAGAGUGGAGAACGGUUGAGUAAUGCGUGACCGACCUGCCCCAUGCACCCCCCUAGCUCCUGGAAACGGUUGGUAAUGCCGGAUGCUCCAUCACACCGCAUGGUGUGUUGGGAAAGCCUUUGCUUGAUGGGAUGGGGUCGCGUCCUAUCAGCUUGAUGGCGGGGUAACGGCCCACCAUGGCUUCGACGGGUAGCCGGCCUGAGAGGGCGACCGGCCCCAUUGGGACUGAUAUACGGCCCAGACUCCUACGGGAGGCAGCAGUGAGUAAUAUUGCACAUUGGGCGCUAGCCUGAUGCAUCGACGCCGCGUGAGGCAUGGAGGCCUUCGGGUUGUAAACCUCUUUUGUUAGGGAGCAAGGCACUUUGUGUUGAGUGUACCUUUCUUAUAAUAACCGGCUACCUACGUGCCACCAGCCGCGGUAAUACGUAGGGAGCUAGCGUUAUCCGGAAUUAUUGGGAGUUAAGGGCUCGUAGGUGGCUCGUCUCAUCGGGUGUGAAAGUCCAUCGCUUAACGUUGGAUCCGCGCCGGAUACGCCCCGGGCUCGACUGCGGCAGGGAAUACUGGAAUUCCCGGUGUAAAGGUGGAAUGUGUAAAUAUCAAUUCAGAAUACCUAUGGCGAAUGCUGGUCUCUGUGCCGAUACAGACGCUGAGGAGUGAAAUCU